Molecule: long non-coding RNA, 1595 nt
Filed under: Canis lupus familiaris (dog)
Lineage: Eukaryota; Metazoa; Chordata; Mammalia; Carnivora; Canidae
Description: lncRNA (ENSCAFG00000052840.1, ENSCAFG00845028003.1)
Source: RNAcentral
CACUGUGGUUGCUGUGUUUCCUGUGGGGUGUACUGGUAGGCCUCACUUUCUCCCUCUGCCCUGUCCUGUUUCCUUUAUCUCCCCUCCUCAGCGGAUGGUUCCAGCAACACUCCGUGACAAACAUCCUGUUCCUAAACUCUUCCCGGAGCCUGCUUCCUGGGAGGCCCACCUUCUACAGGCACCCACCUCCCUUCUUCCUCAAGACGGCCCUUGAGAGCCUCCCUGCACCCAGAGGCUCUUGUCUGAGAUGAGAAGACCAAGAACCCAAAAGAUGAGCUCAUAGACCCCGAACCAAGUGCACCUGCACCCACCUGUUCCGGUGGCCUGGAGAGAGACCAUCCUCAUUGCUUCUCAAGGCCCUAACCCAGGAAGCCCAGGCCAACUGGAAAGGCGCUCCUGGAGGUGGAGGAGGUACCGCAGAGGGAGACAUGCCUCCAGAUUCUCCUUUGUGGCUCAGGACGCAGCAUCCAGUAGGAACCCAAGGCCUGGAAAUUCCCGCUCAUUGAGGAAUGUGGGAGACAUUCCUGGAGUUACACGGAAAUACAAUGCAAAGCCAGGAUGUCCCUGGGGAUGGAGAGAUGGCAGCCGAGAUUUCCUACCCCAGGGAAGAGAUGCCUCUGGUGAAGGUGGGCAACCAAGACAACAAUUCUUGGCUUUGAGUUUUGAAUUAUGGCCACGGUAGAGAUUUAAAAAAAAAAAAUGUUUUUAAGAGAAAAGGCUUUGGGGUUGCCAAAAUCUAGGCUUUUGAGGUUCAAAAUCCUAAUCUUUGAACAAUUUAGAGAAUGAAGAUUAGGUGUGUAUAUUUGGCAACAGAAACAUACCUGGUUACUCUUCCAACACCUUGAAAAGUAUUUGUUGCUUAAAGAUUCCACAGCGGGAGCCAGUGGCAGAGGAGACAGAGGAGGUCAGCCAAAGGGAGGAGAGAAGGAGAAGCAAGAGAGUUAGGUAGAUAUAGCAACGUGACCCCAAGAAAAGGAUCCUAGACCAGACCCUAGGGGAAAGGGGCACAACAGAAAUUCCAGAUCCAUUUGGGGAUUUGGCUCCAAAGAGGACUUCAGUCUUGAUUCCAGAGAUGAGCCCUGGGGUGGCAUGUCUCAGAGAUUCUCAGAGGGCCAUUCGAGAGCCUCACAGAGAAGGCUACCUGCUGGCAGGACCAAGACAGCCCCUAGGGACCAACCCCUCCCCACCCCACCAGCAGAACCAUAGGACAGCAGCCAAAUGUUUCAGGGCUUUCCAGAGGGUGAAAGAGAAUAGGACCUAGGGAGACCUUAUCGUUGGGAUGGGCACUUGUGCAUCUGACCUAAUGAUAAAGAUCAGAUGGAAACAAGGGUGUCCGUGUGGAAGCAGGGAGAGAAGCAACUACUGACUGGGUGCCCUGGUCACGUGGGUGUGUGCGAAGCCCCUUCCUGGGGAAAGUGUCUGGCGGAGGGGAGGGUGGGUGCAGAUUGUGCUGGGGUCCAGAACUGGCUGAAGAAACCAUGAACUGAGAUCAAGUUUCUGGCAUCUAGCAGAAGAGUGGAAACCCCACACAGAAACUACAUUGUAGAAAGACAAGGUUUGACUUUUACGCACACUUGGUUUCCUACCCACCAGGC